AAUAGAGUAGUGAGAGGAAAAAUAUAGAGAGAAAAAUUAGUUUCUCCUUAUGAGGUUUCUCUUACGUAGUGUUAGUGUUUGUAUUCUCCUAUUUAUAAGAGAGAGUGGUAAUUGUACUCUCCUUAUAAAUAGGAGAGAGGUCCUGUAAUUUCUUCUAGUUAUUGAAAGUUUUCUACUCUUAUCCCGUGGUUUUUUUCCCCUUAUUCGUUGAGGGGUUUCCACGUAAAUAUUGUGUGUUCAGUUCCUCUUUUCUCAUUUUUUAUUUUAGCUGUGUAAUAAUAUUUUGCUACUCUGGUACCCAACAUUAAGUCGGUGUUUACACAACAAACCAUGAGGUUCAUGUUCUAAAACUAACAGGUAAUAUUUAUGAGAGGCAACGGAGUUACUAAGAAGAAAAUGUAAUUUUCUUUGUCUAGCAAAUUGACAGAUAUCACAAGUAGCAUUCGAACCAAAUGUUGGGAUUUAUGUGAGACAUAUGAGAUAGCCUUUUGUGUGAAACAUGACCUAACCUAAAAUGCCAUAAUGCAGAAGAAGGAGUGGUAAUGAGUUUAUUAGCAGAAACAAUAUUGACAGAAGCAGUUUUAUUCAAAGAAGAAGUAAAGAAAUCUAAAUCUAAUCUAUAGAGACCUUCAUAUUGAUCAUCCAAACCAAUCAUCUUCUGGGAUUGAAGAUCCUGCAAGAAACAUUUAUCAUUAUGAAAAGUGAUAAAACACUUCAAAGAAUCACAAAACUUGGAAAUAGAAAUCAAGUUCAAAGUGAAUGAAGGUGAAUACAUGAUAAGUGCCGUAAAUUAGUUAAAUUCAUAGUAUAUUUGAGGCACGAUUGUUACUUGUUUUACAAGUUACCUAAGGAAAAGCAAAGAAAAUAUGAAUAAUUAUCCUAUUAUGCUUUUUAUACAUCACUUUAUCCAUUUGUGAAGGAAUUGAAUAGCAAGACACUAAGCAAGAAAGAAAAACAAAGAAAAUGUACAAAGGUCAACUCGCCAUGGCGAUCCAGUGGCGAGUCCAGGGCAAGCUGAGGCAGAGAGCACAAGAGAAACUCGCCCCCAAUGCGCAAUGGCGAGUGGAAGGCGAGAAAUCUCGCAAUGGCAAGUAGAAGGCGAGUCCAAGGCGAGCUGAGACAGAGAGCAAGGACCAGAGUUGGCCAUGGCGAGCACAAUCUCGCGAGGCGAGUUAAGGCGGCCAAAAACUCCUCAAGAUGUGGCAGAAACCCACUGGUGAAGAAACAUCAACUCGCCAUUGUAACACUCCGUUUCCCCAACGUAUAAAUGAUAUAACAUAAAUCAGAGUUCAUCAUAAACAG
This 1302-nucleotide long non-coding RNA is filed under the name Medicago truncatula (barrel medic). Its description in RNAcentral is "long non-coding RNA (MTRU_LNC005344)". Lineage: Eukaryota; Viridiplantae; Streptophyta; Magnoliopsida; Fabales; Fabaceae. The record is from RNAcentral.